RNAcentral lists this ribosomal RNA (253 nucleotides) under uncultured bacterium. RNAcentral's name for it is "partial 16S ribosomal RNA". It matches the Rfam family "Bacterial small subunit ribosomal RNA", at positions 524 to 776 of the family's 1533-position model. The record is from RNAcentral.
UACGUAGGGGGCUAGCGUUGUCCGGAAUCAUUGGGCGUAAAGCGCGCGUAGGCGGCCCAGUAAGUCCGUUGUAAAAGUCAAAGGCUCAACCUUUGAAAGCCGAUGGAUACUGCUGGGCUAGAGUCCGGAAGAGGCGAGUGGAAUUCCUGGUGUAGCGGUGGAAUGCGCAGAUAUCAGGAGGAACACCGGUGGCGAAGGCGGGUCUCUGGGCCGUAACUGACGCUGAGGAGCGAAAGCAUGGGGAGCGAACAGG